This is a non-coding RNA of Staphylotrichum tortipilum, 86 nucleotides long. The record is from the annotation of a GenBank genome assembly. NCBI's taxonomy places the organism in Eukaryota, Fungi, Ascomycota, Sordariomycetes, Sordariales, Chaetomiaceae.
GGGCGUGUGGCUCAGUUGGUAGAGCGUUCGCUUAGCAUUCAUGCUUUGACUGCGAAAGGUCCUGGGUUCGAUUCCCAGCCCGUCCA